Molecule: long non-coding RNA, 575 nt
Organism: Dromaius novaehollandiae (emu)
Lineage: Eukaryota; Metazoa; Chordata; Aves; Casuariiformes; Dromaiidae
Exons: 4
Source: RefSeq, a predicted model, not a curated record
CACAGGAGACCUUAUUUGGACUUCAAGGGAGGAAGGAAGACAGUGGAGGCACGUCGGAGUGGACGUAGCUCAGGAGGGGAGCAGCAUUCUGCUGAUCUGGCCUUUAUAGAAUCUGCAGUUUCAAAUAUUAGAAAUGCUUGUCUGCAUCUGGAUUUUCCACCACUGCACACACAGUAUGUGUCUUAGAACCUAAAAAAUGCUGUGUUUAAGACCCAAAACUGGAUAAUUCUUGCUAAGGUCAAUGAGAAGUGCAGAUGCUCAAUGUCUCGCAGACAGAGGCCCAGAGAAAGUUGAAGGAUAUCAAGAGACCAAUAAAUCUUCCAGAUGACUACAAGAGUGAGGAGAGACAAAUCGUAAACUCUGCUAUAGCAGAUAUUAAUUUUCCUGCUUACAGUACAGCAGUGAAGAGUCACAGAGCUCAGGUUCUGGCAGACUGUCUCGUUACAAUCUGCUUGAGGGGUUCACAUCCACUGUCGAGCAUUCUGGCUAUUAACCUUUCUGCAGACCCUGUCCUUACAUGGAGUCCCUUUUGGGAUGGGCGAAGGUGAGCAGAGCUCCACUUUGUGCUCACAACA